GUAAAUGAGGCCCUGGGUGUGUAUAUUAUGGGUUGAGGGGGUGAUUGUCUCACAUUGUGUACACAAGUGUUUUAAAACAAAAGGGGCUAUCAACCAAAUCUCACACACACCCUGCCAGGCCAAGACAUUCUAAGACUUAAUUAGCAUGUGAAAUGACAUAGUGUUACCCUGAGAACAGAGAGAUAGCCUACGGUUGAAUCAUGAGCCACCUUGUCAAAUCUUGUCACAUGCCAAUCAUGGUGGCAGGGGGGUCAUAAAUAAAUCAAAACAUUGACACGUGUCAAUCAUAAUUACCUGGGGGUCAUACAUCAAUCACAGUUUUGACAGUUAGUGAAUUAUAAAACUACUGGCGUCAUUUACAUCUAGAUGCUUGGGACAUGUCCCAACCACUUUUGCAUUUUGCAUUUUGUGUAUUCCUAUAUCAUACAUUCCAUAUCAUGAUAUUUAUUUUGUUUAUCUGGCAUUUCACAUAAUCUUUCCUCUUAGAAGACUUCCAGAAUCUUGUAUGUUUAUGGCUAUCAACAUCCUUAAGUGAAAGGACUGCAUAUUUACCUACUUUACCUGGGACUUCAUGUUCUGAAUCAUCGAUCUCAAUGAUCUCAAGAUGAUUGGUCCUUGACUCUGGUUCCUCCACAAUAUCUUGCACCCCUUUUACUUCUGAAUGAUGUCAAAAGUAAUUGCAUUAUUUAAUUUCUCACCACAAAAAAACAACGAUGAAUUAACGUUUCAAAUUAUGAUUUUUUUUUUUUUUGUUAUUCAUUCAACAUGUAAAAACAACGGAGUGGAAUGUCUGUUUGUGUUUCGGCCUCUGUGAUUCUGCCCACUGCCCAUUUCUGCAGUACCAUUUUGACACCCUGGGUUGCCAGAUAAGAACGGGAACAGCGUGCAACCUCCAUAUUUUCAAGAGAAUGUUGAGAACACACAACUGUGGACGCUGACGGACUGAUCAGGAAUUACACUGUGGACUGUGCUCCAUUCUGCUGUGGUUGUAAAUGGACUUUAGAUAGAUAGAUGGUGUACCUUUACAGUUUUUCUCAAUUGCUUACACACAUUUUUUGAAAGCAUACCUCAUUUUCUCAAAACUCUAAACACAAAU
Long non-coding RNA from Clupea harengus (Atlantic herring), 1096 nucleotides. RefSeq lists it as uncharacterized. The transcript is spliced from 3 exons. NCBI's taxonomy places the organism in Eukaryota, Metazoa, Chordata, Actinopteri, Clupeiformes, Clupeidae. The record is from RefSeq and is a predicted model, not a curated record.